Molecule: ribosomal RNA, 253 nt
Filed under: uncultured bacterium
Lineage: Bacteria
Description: partial 16S ribosomal RNA
Rfam family: Bacterial small subunit ribosomal RNA
Source: RNAcentral
UACGUAGGGGGCAAGCGUUGUCCGGAUUUAUUGGGCGUAAAGAGCGUGUAGGCGGCCAGGUAGGUCUGCUGUGAAAACUCGAGGCUUAACCUCGAGAUGUCGGCGGAAACCAUCUGGCUAGAGUCCGGAAGAGGAGAAUGGAAUUCCCGGUGUAGCGGUGAAAUGCGCAGAUAUCAGGAAGAACACCCGUGGCUAAGGCGGCUCUCUAGUACGGUACUGACGCUGAGACGCGAAAGCGUGGGGAGCGAACAGG